UGUAAUAGGUGAAUGCUGUUAAUUAUGCUGGAAUGGGUGAGAACUCAUCAGAAAUUUAUGUUUCACUAACAAUGCCUACUGCUAAACCUAGUGCAAACCUAGCAGCAAUAAUAGUCCCAUCAGUGCUUGUUUUUUGCUUGGUUGUUCUAAUCCUGGUAGUCAUUGCUGUUGUUGCAUUUAUAUAUUUCAAAAGAAUCAAAGGGAAAAAUACAAACGGAGACAAC
Molecule: long non-coding RNA, 224 nt
Organism: Amphimedon queenslandica
Lineage: Eukaryota; Metazoa; Porifera; Demospongiae; Haplosclerida; Niphatidae
Exons: 3
Source: RefSeq, a predicted model, not a curated record